GAUGAACGCUGGCGGCGUGCCUAAUACAUGCAAGUCGAGCGAACGGACGAGAAGCUUGCUUCUCUGAUGUUAGCGGCGGACGGGUGAGUAACACGUGGAUAACCUACCUAUAAGACUGGGAUAACUUCGGGAAACCGUAGCUAAUACCGGAUAAUAUUUUGAACCGCAUGGUUCAAAAGUGAAAGACGGUCUUGCUGUCACUUAUAGAUGGAUCCGCGCUGCAUUAGCUAGUUGGUAAGGUAACGGCUUACCAAGGCAACGAUGCAUAGCCGACCUGAGAGGGGGAUCGGCCACACUGGAACUGAGACCCGGUCCAGACUCCUACGGGAGGCAGCAGUAGGGAAUUUUCCGCAAUGGGCGAAAGCCUGACGGAAAAACGCCGGGUGGGGUAUGAAGGUCUUCGGAUCGUAAAACUCUUUUAUUAGGGAAAAAAAUAUGUGUAAGUAACGGUGCAAAUCUUGACGGUACCUAAGCAGAAAGCCACGGCUAACUACGU
RNAcentral lists this ribosomal RNA (496 nucleotides) under uncultured bacterium. Its description in RNAcentral is "partial 16S ribosomal RNA". It matches the Rfam family "Bacterial small subunit ribosomal RNA", at positions 28 to 506 of the family's 1533-position model. The record is from RNAcentral.